Molecule: transfer-messenger RNA, 368 nt
Filed under: Bacteroidia
Lineage: Bacteria; Pseudomonadati; Bacteroidota
Also listed under: 2 other names
Description: JAAYUY01 sp012517435 Standard tmRNA
Rfam family: transfer-messenger RNA
About the family: Bacterial tmRNA, also known as 10Sa RNA or SsrA, is named for its dual tRNA and mRNA-like properties. Its role is to liberate the mRNA from a stalled ribosome.
Source: RNAcentral
GGGGCCGACCGGAAUAGACAGGUUAGCAGUUGUAUAUGUAAGCAUGCAGGUUCACGCGAUAGAAACCUCAACAGCGGUCGCAAACAAUUAAACGGCAACGUUUCUUAUUCUCUGGCUGCUUAAUCUUUACCGAUUAAAUAAGCCAGUCUUCCCGGCACUCCGAUUUCUGCCGGAGAGCCAUCAGGGAGGAUCGCAAAGCAGAAUAAGCGGGUGAAGGGUCUCGUCAGCCUGCCGACAAACUCAGAGACUUGUGCAGCAAACAGUCGUGUUUCAGGCCUGCUGCUGCAGACAUAAACUGAAACUAAGCAUGUAGAAAGCAUAUAGGACGCUUUCUCUGGACGGGAGUUCGAUUCUCCCCGGCUCCACUA